Molecule: small nucleolar RNA, 102 nt
Organism: Heterocephalus glaber (naked mole-rat)
Lineage: Eukaryota; Metazoa; Chordata; Mammalia; Rodentia; Bathyergidae
Source: Ensembl
AUCCUUCAGUUCAUGAGUGUGAUGAUUGGGUGUUCAAGCUGUAUGCAUGAGAUGUACCUCCCACAAACCUUGUUACAACAUCAGCACAUUACCCAUCUGACA